GAUGAACGCUGGCGGCGUGCCUAAUACAUGCAAGUCGAGCGAACAGACAAGGAGCUUGCUCCUCUGACGUUAGCGGCGGACGGGUGAGUAACACGUGGAUAACCUACCUAUAAGACUGGAAUAACUUCGGGAAACCGGGGCUAAUACCGGAUAAUAUGUUGAACCGCAUGGUUCUACAGUGAAAGACGGUUUUGCUGUCACUUAUAGAUGGACCCGCGCCGCAUUAGCUAGUUGGUGAGGUAACGGCUCACCAAGGCAACGAUACGUAGCCGACCUGAGAGGGUGAUCGGCCACACUGGAACUGAGACACGGUCCAGACUCCUACGGGAGGCAGCAGUAGGGAAUCUUCCGCAAUGGGCGAAAGCCUGACGGAGCAACGCCGCGUGAGUGAUGAAGGUCUUCGGAUCGUAAAACUCUGUUAUUAGGGAAGAACAAAUGCGUAAGUAACUGUGCGCGUCUUGACGGUACCUAAUCAGAAAGCCACGGCUAACUACGUG
Molecule: ribosomal RNA, 497 nt
Filed under: uncultured bacterium
Lineage: Bacteria
Description: partial 16S ribosomal RNA
Rfam family: Bacterial small subunit ribosomal RNA
Source: RNAcentral